CUCACCCAUCCCCUUUGAUAUCUUGAGGCUUAUUCAAAGGGGUAUAAUUUCUCCUAACCCACAUAUGUGUCAUCUGGCCAAUAAAGUUCUAAGGUUGGAACUCCUUUCAACUACUGAUAAUUGUAACUAGAAAAGACAAACCGUGAUUCCUGUACUUCUAAAGAUCUCAAGAUCUAGAUUACUGUGAAAGAAGUCUCCAGUGAGACUUAGCCAUAACUUGAAAGAUGGAAAAUGAAUACAAGAAAAUUAUUCUACUGGAGGAAUUAUGUGUCAUCAAUGAUUAUUCCUUUAAAAUACUUAAGAAUUUCCUGGCCCAUGAUUUACAAUUGACAAGAAAAAUGGAGGAAGAAUAUGACAGAAUUAAGAUUGUUGACUUGAUGGAAGAAAAGUUCCAAGGUGCUGCCUAUAGAAUGCUUAAAAGAGCAAAGUUAAAAGUUGCAAAGGAUAUUGAAGAAAAAAGAACUCUAAUAAAAAGCAGCAAACAAGAUAGAACAGGUCCUGCAAUGUCUACAUUCACCACACAAGAAGGUCAGGAGGAAAGCGAGAGAGGUCCAGCAUCCACACCAGUGAAUGAGAACACAGCAGUGUGAUAUUAUCUACCGCUCCAAUCUGUUUCAUGCUUUUGCUUGCUAAUCCAUGAUUGUUUCUUCAACACACCAUGCUCCUUUCUUCUUCAGAGUUUUAAACACCACGUGUCUCUUAACUGGAAAUUUUUUAAUUUGAUAAAACCUAUCCACCUUUGGAUCCCAAUAUUGAUAUCUUUCCAGAAGGAAUCCUUUCUGAGACCCCAUGCGGACUAUGUGAAAACUUUAUGGUAUUCAAUUUGGAAGUCCUUUAUGGUUUACUUUUUACCACUUAUGACUACUGUAGUUAAUAAAUGUUUGUAUACCCCUCUUGACUAUGAGCUCCAAGCGUGGGGCAACCUUGUUGACCUUGUGAACCAAUGUAACCUAGUGCCCAGUUUUUUGCCUGCCUCACAGGAGGCUCUCAAUAAAUAUGUUUACUUAAUGCAAUAAUGAAAACUGAGUACUAUAAUAUGAAUCAGUGUAGCUAAUGAAGGAUAAGAUGCAGAUCAUUAAAUCCAGUAAAGCAGGUGAUAUCAAUAUGGAGGCUCAAAGGAUGCAAAAACAAACAUAAAAGGAGAUGGAAGAGGGAGAGGAGUUGAGGAGUCGGAAAAAUAUAGGUAGAGGGAAGACCAUACAAGACCCAUACACCAAUGCCUGAAAAGGAAAGGAAAUAUUUGCAUGUCUGUUUACUUUUAUUAGAUUGUACUGUUCUCAAUAGUGGAAUUCUAGUCUUUUAGUGUAUCUCCCAUCAGUGGCAUUCUAAUAACGCAUGAAAACUCAAAUGAGUCUUAUAUCACAUGGAGAGGUUUUGAUUUUCUCGUCUUCUUUUUCUCUGACUACACACUGAAUGAGAAGGAUUAUGGCCCUAGAAGGAAAAACAAAAACAAACUUAUUGCCAUAGAGUCCAUUCCGACUCAUAGCAAUCCUACAGGACAGAGUACAAUGCCCUAUAGGGUUUCCAAAGAGCAGCUGGUAAUUCAAACUGCCAACCUUUUGAUUAGCAGCCAAACACUUAACCACUGUGCCACCAGGGCUCUGAAGGAAAACCAUACUACCAUAAACAAUGUCUGUCUCUCCCCCUCUCUCUGUCUCAGUCUUUCUUCCUCUCUCUCUCCUUUGCACUCUAUCUACACCACUAAAACAUGAUUAUUUUAAAAACUAGAAAAAUGUUUAUAACCAACCAGUCAAGCAAUGUUAACUUUUAAUUUCUUGAAACCCUGCCAUCCAGGUAUUACCAAUUUUUCUCCAUAUUCUUUUCGAUAUUGGUCUUCAUAAGUAAAUUUAUAAUUUUCCAGAACUGAUUUCAUACAAUGAUCAAUAUUCUAUCACUUGUUUUAUUAAUUUAACAUACCAGGACUAUAUUUCCAAAAUAUCCCCGGCAUAGUAGAGAUAACCUUUGACGUUUGUGUUUUGGUGUUUUUGGUGGUCGACUUUCAUUUUCAAUACUACUGAAGAUUUUCACUCUUUUAAUUUUCUUUGGCCAUUUAAAUUGUUACAGGGUAUAUUUGAACUUGCGUUUUAUUGUAAUCUGUCACUUAAGUCAUUUCAGGACAAUGCUCUCAUAAUCUACCACUCUAUGUUUCUGUAACCGAAGAUUAUAGUUUACUUCUAAAAGAUCAUUCUGUUUAAACUAGAGUGUUCUAACUUCUAUGCCUGUUGUGUUCUACCUUAAUCCCCCUAGCUAAAUUACACCAGUGCAUUAUCAAUUACUUCCUGCUAAGCAAUCCUUCUCUAACCUAGCCCUAGGUGCAAAUAUCUCCGAAGGUUGAUGGGUCCCAAUGCUGUCAUUGAGGUUUGUCUCAUUUGGAAGUGACUACGUAUUCCCUGCUCAAAUUUUAAGUUUAUUUUCCCGUGUCUCUCAAACACAGAAUCAGAAACAGUAGGCCAGACUUCAAACAGCUACCAAAAGAAAUUUUCUCCAAAAGGGCCCAGUGGUAGUUCUGGUACUGAAAACUAUAGAACCGUUUGAAUAUGAGUCUCCAAGAGAGGGUAAAAACACAAUGUUUCAUGCUACAGUGGCUACCCAGAUUAAAUUCUUCUAAGUGAAAGUUUUCAACACCAACCUGAAGGAGAAGUUCACCCCAAGUAGGGUCAUUGCCUUAACAGAUUAUUUUGAAUGCAAAGGAAUAUUGGAGAUAAAUGAAGCAUCAUCUGUACAUGAUCAAAAGAUUGAGGUCACAACCAGAAUUAUCAAAAGAGCAACAGAAAAUCCCGAAAUUGAUAAUCUUCAAAAACAAGCAACAGAAACAUUAGUCUAUGGGUUGUUUAUGUUACAUAAGGCAAUUUCUUAGAAUUGUUUUUUAAAUUUUCUCUGCCAAUACCUAAAAGUAAAUCUCUAAACUUGCCAAGUACAGCAUUGCCUAGCGACUGAACAUUGGAAACCAAAUUCUUUUUUAAAAUAUUCACUAACACCUUGGCGUUUGCCAAUGAUUUCAUCUCUUUGAGUUCCAUCCAAACUGUAUAAAUCAUUUCAGAUUGCAUUUUGAUAAAUUUAUUUUAAAAAAUUGAUUGACCUACCAAGCUUGAAAUCUGUAUGUGAGAUGUUAUUACAGCAAUAGAUUGGCUGGUUUCUAGGAAUAAAAUACAUUGAACAGUUAUGGAUAUGAUCUAAGCCUUCAGUGCUGUCUCUUCUAAUUUAUUCAUUUAUUCACUUAUUCAGAAAGAGAUUAUUCUCUUAUUCAUGAUUAAUCUCUUAUUCAUGAAUUGAUUAUUGAACCGAGAAAUAUGGAACUGGAUGAUAUUGGAAGUUAAG
This is an RNA transcript of Trichechus manatus latirostris (Florida manatee), 3318 nucleotides long. It is a transcript of the gene named pyrin and HIN domain-containing protein 1-like, with no coding region annotated. The record is from RefSeq and is a predicted model, not a curated record. Lineage: Eukaryota; Metazoa; Chordata; Mammalia; Sirenia; Trichechidae. The transcript has 5 exons.